RNAcentral lists this ribosomal RNA (253 nucleotides) under uncultured bacterium. RNAcentral describes it as "partial 16S ribosomal RNA". It matches the Rfam family "Bacterial small subunit ribosomal RNA", at positions 524 to 776 of the family's 1533-position model. The record is from RNAcentral.
GACGGAGGAUGCAAGCGUUAUCCGGAAUGAUUGGGCGUAAAGCGUCCGCAGGUGGCAGUUCAAGUCUGCUGUCAAAGACCGGGGCUUAACUUCGGAAAGGCAGUGGAAACCGAACAGCUAGAGUAUGGUAGGGGCAGAGGGAAUUCCUGGUGUAGCGGUGAAAUGCGUAGAGAUCAGGAAGAACAUCGGUGGCGAAGGCGCUCUGCUGGACCAUAACUGACACUCAGGGACGAAAGCUAGGGGAGCGAAUGGG